UACGUAGGUGACUAGCGUUGUCCAGAUUUACUGGGCGUAAAGAGCGCGCAGGCAGUCGUUCAAGUCGAGUGUGAAAGCCCCCGGCUCAACUGGAGAGAGUCAUUCGAUACUGAUCGACUCGAAGGCAGGAGAGGGAAGCGGAAUUCCCGGUGUAAUGGUGAAAUGCGUAGAUAUCGAGAGGAACACCAGUGGCGAAGGCGGCUUCCUGGCCUGUUCUUGACGCUGAGGCGCGAAAGCUAGGAGAGCAAACGGG
RNAcentral lists this ribosomal RNA (253 nucleotides) under uncultured bacterium. RNAcentral's name for it is "partial 16S ribosomal RNA". It matches the Rfam family "Bacterial small subunit ribosomal RNA", at positions 524 to 776 of the family's 1533-position model. The record is from RNAcentral.